GGGCCGGUAGAUCAGUGGGAGAUCGCCCGCCUUGCACGCGGGAGGUCGCGGGUUCAAAUCCCGCCCGGUCCA
Molecule: transfer RNA, 72 nt
Filed under: Nitrososphaerota archaeon
Lineage: Archaea; Thermoproteati; Nitrososphaerota
Also listed under: 5 other names
Description: tRNA-Ala
Rfam family: tRNA
About the family: Transfer RNA (tRNA) molecules are approximately 80 nucleotides in length. Their secondary structure includes four short double-helical elements and three loops (D, anti-codon, and T loops). Further hydrogen bonds mediate the characteristic L-shaped molecular structure. tRNAs have two regions of fundamental functional importance: the anti-codon, which is responsible for specific mRNA codon recognition, and the 3' end, to which the tRNAs corresponding amino acid is attached (by aminoacyl-tRNA synthetases). tRNAs cope with the degeneracy of the genetic code in two manners: having more than one tRNA (with a specific anti-codon) for a particular amino acid; and 'wobble' base-pairing, i.e. permitting non-standard base-pairing at the 3rd anti-codon position.
Source: RNAcentral